CAGCAGCCGCGGGAAUACGUAGGGUGCAAGCGUUAAUCGGAAUUACUGGGCGUAAAGCGUGCGUAGGCGGUGAGUUAAGUCUGCUGUGAAAUCCCCGGGCUCAACCUGGGAAUGGCAGUGGAUACUGGCUCGCUAGAGUGUGUCAGAGGAUGGUGGAAUUCCCGGUGUAGCGGUGAAAUGCGUAGAGAUCGGGAGGAACAUCAGUGGCGAAGGCGGCCAUCUGGGACAACACUGACGCUGAGGCACGAAAGCGUGGGGAGCAAACAGGAUUAGAUACCCGCGUAGUCCCUGUCUCUUAUAC
RNAcentral lists this ribosomal RNA (301 nucleotides) under uncultured bacterium. RNAcentral describes it as "partial 16S ribosomal RNA". It matches the Rfam family "Bacterial small subunit ribosomal RNA", at positions 509 to 807 of the family's 1533-position model. The record is from RNAcentral.